RNAcentral lists this ribosomal RNA (392 nucleotides) under uncultured bacterium. RNAcentral describes it as "partial 16S ribosomal RNA". It matches the Rfam family "Bacterial small subunit ribosomal RNA", at positions 523 to 917 of the family's 1533-position model. The record is from RNAcentral.
AUACGGAGGAUCCGAGCGUUAUCCGGAUUUAUUGGGUUUAAAGGGAGCGUAGGUGGAUAGUUAAGUCAGUUGUGAAAGUUUGCGGCUCAACCGUAAAAUUGCAGUUGAUACUGGCUGUCUUGAGUACAGUAGAGGUGGGCGGAAUUCGUGGUGUAGCGGUGAAAUGCUUAGAUAUCACGAAGAACUCCGAUUGCGAAGGCAGCUCACUGGACUGCAACUGACACUGAUGCUCGAAAGUGUGGGUAUCAAACAGGAUUAGAUACCCUGGUAGUCCACACAGUAAACGAUGAAUACUCGCUGUUUGCGAUAUACAGUAAGCGGCCAAGCGAAAGCAUUAAGUAUUCCACCUGGGGAGUACGCCGGCAACGGUGAAACUCAAAGGAAUUGACGGG